CAAAGAACUUUCUUUUACUGCUACUAAUCCUCUUGGAGAUAUAUCUGUCCAUGAUUUCCAUCUUUCUGAAAUAAUUUCAUGAUGUUAGGAGAGAGGGCACAUGACAAACUUUGUUCGUACUAGUCUUGAUUUUAUAUACCUUUUAUGUUCUUCCAAAUUUCACUUGUGUUAAUUUAACUAUUUUUAUGAGGAGGAUUCAUAUUUGAUUAAAUGACCUGAUUGUGAUUGUCAUCAUCACCUUAUAAUACACCAAAACUUUGAUAAGUUUAUAUAGGCUCUACUAUCCAAGUAAAAGAAGUAGAUAUUAAAAGAAGAUGAAGGGAAAAAUCCUACAUAUAAUUUGAAGGUUAAAGGGUACCCGUAGGAUAAAGAAUUACCAAAAAUUGUUAGUUAGAUAAGGGUAAAUUUUAAAAUCCACAGUUGGUUAAUAGCAGCAGUGCAGGAGCUGUAAUAUGUAAUAUUUAAUUUGAUGAGUUCCUGAAACAAGAUGUUAGCAAUCCCUUGCAGAUUCUGAUUUGUGGCCUAUCUUACCCUUAUUGUUAGUUGUAGCAUAACUUUAUUCUUAAUAAAGAAACAGGCAAAACUAUGAGUGGGAGUUCUCCCAUGUAAUUUAUAUAUAUGAAGUUCUUGGUUUUGUCAGAAAAUGGAGAAAGCCUUGCACGAUCGCUUCAAAGAAAAAAGGAAGGAAAGAAGAAAUCUCACUCUUAUUGUGUGUUUUCCUGUAGUUUGUUGUACCUUUUCAUUUGGUUCUUUUCUUCCUGCAAGUGGAAAAGCUGCACUGUUUUUUGAGCAUUCUGCGACAACUUGAGGUGCUCUGAAGGAAUCUCGAAGUUCGUUCAUUCUUGCACUUCUAUACAGUCUCUCUGGGUGGUUCUGUGCUUUUGUUGAGCAGUUUUUGUUCCCCUUAUUUUCUUUUUGUAACAAUAUAAAAAUGCGAUUUUCUAUGAUGCUUGAUUUGCUAUUACUUGAGGAUUUCUUAGUAAAAACCUGUAUUCUAUUCA
Molecule: long non-coding RNA, 1001 nt
Organism: Capsicum annuum
Lineage: Eukaryota; Viridiplantae; Streptophyta; Magnoliopsida; Solanales; Solanaceae
Exons: 2
Source: RefSeq, a predicted model, not a curated record